CCCCGGGCCUUUGGCGUGCCGGGGGUGCCGCUCCGCUUGGCUAACGCCACCCGCUCGGCUGCCGGGGACGCCCUGAGAGGCGAGCGGCAGCCGGGAUUCCGGUCGUGGUCCAGGGAUGGGCUUUGCUCAGCGCGGCAUGUGGCUCUGAGCGGAUAGUAGCCGUUUCCUCCCCAGGCGGGCUUCGCACCUGUCCUCAUCUCCCGGGCACGGGAGGGUGCAGCCAGUGUUUACUACAAUUCUGUGAGAUGCAAAAGAUUCCGCGGGCGUCCGAACCCCUCCACUGAAUUUCUGCGACUCGCACAGCGUCAAAUUGGCAGGAAGGCGCGCCCAUUCCGUUAUCUUCCAAAUCAGCGCAAAUUGACUGGCAUAGACAUUCGUUGAGAAAACGCUUCCUUUCUGAGGAGGCAACCCUACGUGUGACCUCGAGGGGAUCGUGACUGCUUUGAAUUCAGCUUCCUCAGACAGCAGUCGGGCAAGUAAGGUUCCAGAAUGGGACACUCACUGAGACAUAAAUUUGAGGGACACGAAGAGACUCCUGUGUCCAAAAUCAACCUGAAGCUGUCGAUUUACCUGAAAUUGCCAAUUUAAGGUAAUGAAAUAGAUACCGAAAAGAAGAGCUGAGAGAGAAAGGUCUAGAGAAGAGAAAGUCAAACCCACAGGCUCACCUGCCCACACUUCAGAACUUUCUGAAUUCUCAGACUUUAUACCGAUGGCAGACCCCAGCUCCACUCAUCCAAAGCUUUCCAUUUUGGUCAGUUUGAAUCCCUAUGAGGCAACUGCUUUCAGAAGGCACUUUCAGCCUCCUGUGUUUGAAAUUCUGGGAGCAGUCUGUACUGUGGCAUGGAAAGACAUGGAACUCCUCCUCCUCCACUUCCUAUGAUUCUGAUGGGCUACAAUUCCAAGGGCCUCACUCAUCUGGCCAUAGCUGAAUGAGGUAGAGAGGAUUCCUUCUGCAGAAGUUGCUAGCUUAGGAUGUAACAUGGAGUCACACAUGAUAAUUUUCUGAAACCUCAUGGAGUCUGUCUUAUAUUAGGAGAAAACUAACAAAUGGGAGCAGGGUGGAGACAGAGAAAAUAAACGUUGCCAAUAUUG
This is a long non-coding RNA of Neofelis nebulosa (Clouded leopard), 1092 nucleotides long. RefSeq lists it as uncharacterized. The record is from RefSeq and is a predicted model, not a curated record. The transcript has 4 exons. NCBI's taxonomy places the organism in Eukaryota, Metazoa, Chordata, Mammalia, Carnivora, Felidae.